AACGAACGCUGGCGGCAGGCCUAACACAUGCAAGUCGGACGAGACCUUCGGGUCUAGUGGCGGACGGGUGAGUAACACGUGGGAACGUACCUCUUGCUACGGAAUAGCCUCGGGAAACUGGGAGUAAUACCGUAUGUGCCCUACGGGGAAAGAUUUAUCGGCAAGAGAUCGGCCCGCGUUGGAUUAGGUAGUUGGUGUGGUAAUGGCUCACCAAGCCGACGAUCCAUAGCUGGUUUGAGAGGAUGAUCAGCCACACUGGGACUGAGACACGGCCCAG
RNAcentral lists this ribosomal RNA (277 nucleotides) under uncultured bacterium. RNAcentral describes it as "partial 16S ribosomal RNA". It matches the Rfam family "Bacterial small subunit ribosomal RNA", at positions 29 to 334 of the family's 1533-position model. The record is from RNAcentral.